Molecule: long non-coding RNA, 866 nt
Organism: Mercenaria mercenaria
Lineage: Eukaryota; Metazoa; Mollusca; Bivalvia; Venerida; Veneridae
Exons: 4
Source: RefSeq, a predicted model, not a curated record
CAGGACAUUGCUGUGUAUGUAACUGAAACUGUGGAUAAAGCUUGUGGCACUGAACCAUUUCAAAAGUGCAGUCCAUGUGAACCUGAAAUUGAUGUAGACUUUGCAGAGGAUGAUGUUGAAUUGGAGAGAUUUAUGAAGUUGCAAGCAAAAUUAGAGGAACGUAAACAGGUAUGAUAGAAACUUGUCGACUUGUUAGUCUCCAAGUUGUUGAAAACCAGUUUCUGGUACUAUAGCAUUGCACUUUUCCAUCUGUCCAUCAUUUUGUCUAAAAAACUAGAAAAUGAUGACUCCUGCAAAUUGGGAAUUUUAUGCAGUAUUUUCGGAAACCUCAAAAUUGGGAAAAUACAUAGAUUUUUGCAAUUAGGAUGGGGCCCAUAUUCGGCCCCGAAAUCAACGUAAAAAAAUCUCUGUAAUCCUAACUCAAAGGUCAAGGUCACUGUGAGAGGUCAUGGGUCAAAAACAUAUUUUCCUUUCUGGGCCAUAACUCUGUCAUCAAUUAGAUAAUUUUAAUAUAACUUGACACAAAAGUUCACAUAAUGAGAAAAUGUGUAAUGUGCCAUACUCACACCCCUAGUGCAUAGGUCAAGGUUACACCUUAAUGUCAAAAGUCAACAUUGAAUGUUUUGUUGUCUGUAAAACAUGUUUAUCUAAGCUAAUAUGUCAUAUUAGACCCUAUUAAAAAUUGUUGGUGUUUUUUCUUCAAAAUUGCUUCCAUAUAAUUUAAUGUUUACUUAAAUUUUUGUGCCCCCCCCCCCCCCCCCCCAUGAGUGGUGGGGGCAUAUAGAUUUGCUCUUGUCCAUCUGUCCGUCCAUCCGAAAAUGUUGUGUCGUGCCUACUCCAAAAGUAUUUGACCAAGAGUCACCAGA